RNAcentral lists this ribosomal RNA (918 nucleotides) under Parafenestella ulmicola. RNAcentral's name for it is "Parafenestella sp. CP-2021c partial large subunit ribosomal RNA". It matches the Rfam family "Eukaryotic large subunit ribosomal RNA", at positions 48 to 983 of the family's 3401-position model. Lineage: Eukaryota; Fungi; Ascomycota; Dothideomycetes; Pleosporales; Cucurbitariaceae. The record is from RNAcentral.
AGGGUGUGGGCGACCACGGGAUUGCCCUAGUAACGGCGAGUGAAGCGGCAUCAGCUCAAAUUUGAAAUCUGGCUCUUUUAGGGUCCGAGUUGUAAUUUGCAGAGGGCGCUUUGGCGUUGGCAGCGGUCCAAGUUCCUUGGAACAGGACGUCACAGAGGGUGAGAAUCCCGUACGUGGUCGCUGGCCUUCGCCGUGUAAAGCCCCUUCGACGAGUCGAGUUGUUUGGGAAUGCAGCUCUAAAUGGGAGGUAAAUUUCUUCUAAAGCUAAAUACUGGCCAGAGACCGAUAGCGCACAAGUAGAGUGAUCGAAAGAUGAAAAGCACUUUGGAAAGAGAGUCAAAUAGCACGUGAAAUUGUUGAAAGGGAAGCGCUUGCAGCCAGACUUGCCUGUAGUUGCUCAUCCGGGCUUUUGCCCGGUGCACUCUUCUGCGGGCAGGCCAGCAUCAGUCUAGGCGGUUGGAUAAAGGCCUCUGUCACGUACCUCCUUUCGGGGAGGCCUUAUAGGGGAGGCGUAAUGCAACCAGCCUGGACUGAGGUCCGCGCAUCUGCUAGGAUGCUGGCGUAAUGGCUGUAAGCGGCCCGUCUUGAAACACGGACCAAGGAGUCUAACAUCUAUGCGAGUGUUUGGGUGUCAAGCCCGAACGCGUAAUGAAAGUGAACGGAGGUGGGAUCCCUUUAGGGUGCACCAUCGACCGAUCCUGAUGUCUUCGGAUGGAUUUGAGUAAGAGCAUGGCUGUUGGGACCCGAAAGAUGGUGAACUAUGCUUGAAUAGGGUGAAGCCAGAGGAAACUCUGGUGGAGGCUCGCAGCGGUUCUGACGUGCAAAUCGAUCGUCAAAUUUGGGCAUAGGGGCGAAAGACUAAUCGAACUAUCUAGUAGCUGGUUCCUGCCGAGUUCCCCUCUUUUUAUGAGAGAAACG